CCUCUCAUGGCGUAGUGGUAACGCGCCCCAACUAGAGAUCGGGGAGUCGUGAGUUCGAUUCUCACUGAGAAGU
Aedes aegypti (yellow fever mosquito) is the source of this 73-nucleotide non-coding RNA. The record is from Rfam. Lineage: Eukaryota; Metazoa; Arthropoda; Insecta; Diptera; Culicidae.